GUCUCUUCGUUUUUUUGAUAUGGGGAGUCUGGCCUGCCCGGUGACUAAUGAGUUAAACGGCCGCGGUACUUUGACCGUGCAAAGGUAGCAUAAUCAUUUGCCUCUUAAUUGGGGGCUGGUAUGAAUGGCUUGACGAAAGCAUGUCUGUCUCUUUUAUAUUUUCUAGAAAUUGAUUUUCAGGUGAAAAAGCCUGGAUUUACCUAAAAGACAAGAAGACCCUGUUGAGCUUGAAUAUAUUUUUAAGGAAGUGGGCUAUAUGUUGGUAUAGGUUUUGUCUUUUAUUUGUUUUUGGUUGGGGCGACCUAGGAACAGAUAAAGCUUCCUUAAGGAGUUUGUAAACUGUCGGGUCUGGAUCCGCUAUGUAGCGAUUAAAGGAAAUAGCUACCACAGGGAUAACAGCGUGAUCCUUUUUGAGAGUUCUUAUUGAAAAGGGGGGUUGCGACCUCGAUGUUGGACUAGGGUUUCCAGAAGGUGGAGAAGUUUUUUAGGUUAGUCUGUUCGACUAUUAAAACCCUA
RNAcentral lists this ribosomal RNA (516 nucleotides) under Bouchetitrochus deforgesi. RNAcentral describes it as "partial 16S ribosomal RNA". It matches the Rfam family "Bacterial large subunit ribosomal RNA", at positions 1817 to 2598 of the family's 2925-position model. The record is from RNAcentral. Lineage: Eukaryota; Metazoa; Mollusca; Gastropoda; Pleurotomariida; Pleurotomariidae.